GGCUUGGUACUGCGGA
Molecule: ribosomal RNA, 16 nt
Filed under: Psophocarpus tetragonolobus (winged bean)
Lineage: Eukaryota; Viridiplantae; Streptophyta; Magnoliopsida; Fabales; Fabaceae
Description: partial small subunit ribosomal RNA
Source: RNAcentral